AAUACGAGGGUUCCAAGCGUUACUCGGAAUCACUGGGCGUAAAGGGUGCGUAGGCUGGCUUCUAAGUCAGAUGUGAAAUCCAAUGGCUCAACCAUUGAACUGCAUUUGAAACUGGGAGCCUAGAGUCAGAAGGGGCAGAUGGAAUUAGUGGUGUAGGGGUAAAAUCCGUAGAUAUCACUAGGAAUAUCAAAAGCGAAGGCGAUCUGCUGGGAUGAUACUGACGCUGAGGCACGAAAGCGUGGGGAGCAAACAGGAUUAGAUACCCUGGUAGUCCACGCCCUAAACGAUGAAUGCUAGUCGUCGGGGAGCUCGUCUCUUCGGUGAUGCACUUAACAGAUUAAGCAUUCCGCCUGGGGAGUACGGUCGCAAGAUUAAAACUCAAAGGAAUAGACGGGGACCCGCACAAGUGGUGGAGCAUGUGGUUUAAUUCGAAGAUACACGAAGAACCUUACCUGGCCUUGACAUGGUAGGAACCCUUAAGAGAUUAGGGGGUGCUAGCUUGCUAGAACCUACACACAGGUGCUGCACGGCUGUCGUCAGCUCGUGUCGUGAGAUGUUGGGUUAAGUCCCGCAACGAGCGCAACCCUCGUCCUUAGUUGCUAACAGUUUGGCUGAGCACUCUAGGGAGACUGCCUUCGUAAGGAGGAGGAAGGUGAGGACGACGUCAAGUCAUCAUGGCCCUUACGGCCAGGGCUACACACGUGCUACAAUGGGGCGUACAGAGAGCUGCAAUACCGCGAGGUGGAGCCAAUCUCUUAAAGCGUCUCUCAGUUCGGAUUGUUCUCUGCAACUCGAGAACAUGAAGCUGGAAUCACUAGUAAUCGCAGAUCAGCUAUGCUGCGGUGAAUACGUUCCCGGGUCUUGUACUCACCGCCCGUCACACCAUGGGAGUUGAUUUCACCCGAAAUCGGGAUGCCAAACUGGCUACCGCUUACGGUGGAAUUAGCGACUGGGGUGAAGUCGUAACAAGGUAACC
Molecule: ribosomal RNA, 976 nt
Filed under: uncultured bacterium
Lineage: Bacteria
Description: bacterial SSU rRNA
Rfam family: Bacterial small subunit ribosomal RNA
Source: RNAcentral